UUACGACCACAUCACGUUGCAAAAUCGGUUCCCGUAUGAUCGCCGGAGUUAAGCAACGUCGAGCCUCGACAGUUCCUAGAUGGCUGACUCCUUGGGAAUAGCAAGUGCUGUAAG
Acanthosepion pharaonis is the source of this 114-nucleotide non-coding RNA. The record is from the annotation of a GenBank genome assembly. Lineage: Eukaryota; Metazoa; Mollusca; Cephalopoda; Sepiida; Sepiidae.